GUUGACCUCGGAUCAGGUAGGACUACCCGCUGAACUUAAGCAUAUCAAUAAGCGGAGGAAAAGAAACCAACAGGGAUUGCCCCAGUAACGGCGAGUGAAGCGGCAACAGCUCAAAUUUGAAAUCUGGCCCCAGGCCCGAGUUGUAAUUUGCAGAGGAUGCUUUUGGCGCGGUGCCUUCCGAGUUCCCUGGAACGGGACGCCAUAGAGGGUGAGAGCCCCGUACGGUUGGACACCAAGCCUUUGUAAAGCUCCUUCGACGAGUCGAGUAGUUUGGGAAUGCUGCUCUAAAUGGGAGGUACAUUUCUUCUAAAGCUAAAUAUUGGCCAGAGACCGAUAGCGCACAAGUAGAGUGAUCGAAAGAUGAAAAGCACUUUGAAAAGAGGGUUAAACAGCACGUGAAAUUGUUAAAAGGGAAGCGCUUGUGACCAGACUUGCGUCCGGUGAAUCACCCAGCUCUCGCGGCUGGGGCACUUCGCCGGCACAGGCCAGCAUCAGCUUGCCGUCGGGGACAAAAGCUUCAGGAACGUGGCUCCUCUCGGGGAGUGUUAUAGCCUGUUGCAUAAUACCCUUCGGCGGGCUGAGGUACGCGCUCCGCAAGGAUGCUGGCGUAAUGGUCAUCAGCGAC
RNAcentral lists this ribosomal RNA (625 nucleotides) under Colletotrichum acutatum. Its description in RNAcentral is "eukaryotic LSU rRNA". It matches the Rfam family "Eukaryotic large subunit ribosomal RNA", at positions 1 to 648 of the family's 3401-position model. Lineage: Eukaryota; Fungi; Ascomycota; Sordariomycetes; Glomerellales; Glomerellaceae. RNAcentral also lists the same sequence under 3 other names. The record is from RNAcentral.